This 1900-nucleotide ribosomal RNA is filed under the name Staphylococcus aureus. RNAcentral describes it as "bacterial LSU rRNA". It matches the Rfam family "Bacterial large subunit ribosomal RNA", at positions 1 to 1903 of the family's 2925-position model. Lineage: Bacteria; Bacillati; Bacillota; Bacilli; Caryophanales; Staphylococcaceae. The record is from RNAcentral.
AGAUUAAGUUAUUAAGGGCGCACGGUGGAUGCCUUGGCACUAGAAGCCGAUGAAGGACGUUACUAACGACGAUAUGCUUUGGGGAGCUGUAAGUAAGCUUUGAUCCAGAGAUUUCCGAAUGGGGAAACCCAGCAUGAGUUAUGUCAUGUUAUCGAUAUGUGAAUACAUAGCAUAUCAGAAGGCACACCCGGAGAACUGAAACAUCUUAGUACCCGGAGGAAGAGAAAGAAAAUUCGAUUCCCUUAGUAGCGGCGAGCGAAAUGGGAAGAGCCCAAACCAACAAGCUUGCUUGUUGGGGUUGUAGGACACUCUAUACGGAGUUACAAAGGACGACAUUAGACGAAUCAUCUGGAAAGAUGAAUCAAAGAAGGUAAUAAUCCUGUAGUCGAAAAUGUUGUCUCUCUUGAGUGGAUCCUGAGUACGACGGAGCACGUGAAAUUCCGUCGGAAUCUGGGAGGACCAUCUCCUAAGGCUAAAUACUCUCUAGUGACCGAUAGUGAACCAGUACCGUGAGGGAAAGGUGAAAAGCACCCUGGAAGGGGAGUGAAAUAGAACCUGAAACCGUGUGCUUACAAGUAGUCAGAGCCCGUUAAUGGGUGAUGGCGUGCCUUUUGUAGAAUGAACCGGCGAGUUACGAUUUGAUGCAAGGUUAAGCAGUAAAUGUGGAGCCGUAGCGAAAGCGAGUCUGAAUAGGGCGUUUAGUAUUUGGUCGUAGACCCGAAACCAGGUGAUCUACCCUUGGUCAGGUUGAAGUUCAGGUAACACUGAAUGGAGGACCGAACCGACUUACGUUGAAAAGUGAGCGGAUGAACUGAGGGUAGCGGAGAAAUUCCAAUCGAACCUGGAGAUAGCUGGUUCUCUCCGAAAUAGCUUUAGGGCUAGCCUCAAGUGAUGAUUAUUGGAGGUAGAGCACUGUUUGGACGAGGGGCCCCUCUCGGGUUACCGAAUUCAGACAAACUCCGAAUGCCAAUUAAUUUAACUUGGGAGUCAGAACAUGGGUGAUAAGGUCCGUGUUCGAAAGGGAAACAGCCCAGACCACCAGCUAAGGUCCCAAAAUAUAUGUUAAGUGGAAAAGGAUGUGGCGUUGCCCAGACAACUAGGAUGUUGGCUUAGAAGCAGCCAUCAUUUAAAGAGUGCGUAAUAGCUCACUAGUCGAGUGACACUGCGCCGAAAAUGUACCGGGGCUAAACAUAUUACCGAAGCUGUGGAUUGUCCUUUGGACAAUGGUAGGAGAGCGUUCUAAGGGCGUUGAAGCAUGAUCGUAAGGACAUGUGGAGCGCUUAGAAGUGAGAAUGCCGGUGUGAGUAGCGAAAGACGGGUGAGAAUCCCGUCCACCGAUUGACUAAGGUUUCCAGAGGAAGGCUCGUCCGCUCUGGGUUAGUCGGUCCUAAGCUGAGGCCGACAGGCGUAGGCGAUGGAUAACAGGUUGAUAUUCCUGUACCACCUAUAAUCGUUUUAAUCGAUGGGGGACGCAGUAGGAUAGGCGAAGCGUGCGAUUGGAUUGCACGUCUAAGCAGUAAGGCUGAGUAUUAGGCAAAUCCGGUACUCGUUAAGGCUGAGCUGUGAUGGGAGAAGACAUUGUGUCUUCGAGUCGUUGAUUUCACACUGCCGAGAAAAGCCUCUAGAUAGAAAAUAGGUGCCCGUACCGCAAACCGACACAGGUAGUCAAGAUGAGAAUUCUAAGGUGAGCGAGCGAACUCUCGUUAAGGAACUCGGCAAAAUGACCCCGUAACUUCGGGAGAAGGGGUGCUCUUUAGGGUUAACGCCCAGAAGAGCCGCAGUGAAUAGGCCCAAGCGACUGUUUAUCAAAAACACAGGUCUCUGCUAAACCGUAAGGUGAUGUAUAGGGCUGACGCCUGCCCGGUGCUGGAAGGUUAAGAGGAGUGUUAGCUUCUGCGAA